CACGCUGUAAACGAUGGAUGCUAGAUGUCGGGGAGUAUUCUUCGGUGUCGUAGUUAACGCGUUAAGCAUCCCGCCUGGGGAGUACGGUCGCAAGGCUGAAACUCAAAGAAAUUGACGGGGGCCCGCACAAGCGGUGGAGUAUGUGGUUUAAUUCGAUGCAACGCGAAGAACCUUACCUGGGUUUGACAUCCACGGAACCCUCUUGAAAGAGAGGGGUGCCCUUCGGGGAGCCGUGAGACAGGUGC
This 245-nucleotide ribosomal RNA is filed under the name uncultured bacterium. RNAcentral describes it as "partial 16S ribosomal RNA". It matches the Rfam family "Bacterial small subunit ribosomal RNA", at positions 796 to 1041 of the family's 1533-position model. The record is from RNAcentral.